GCAACAAUUGUAUCAAACCCCAAAGAAGGGAAUGGGGCCAGUAAGGUGUGCAGCGAGGUUCAUAGCCUAUAGCACGCAGACCUGCCCGGGCAUAACUGUCUGAUGAAGGAACCCAAAAGGAAGAUCUCUUUAUUGAUGCCAUCUUUGUUGCAACGUAAAGGGGAACCUGCAUCAAGAAAUCCCUUGGUUGAUCGAAGAAGCAUAAAACAAAGGAAAAAAGUGUGUGUGUGUGUUAUCCACUCUGGCAAUUCUGAUGCUCAAACCAAACCUGAUAAUAAGCAGAACAUGUUCAUCAUCCUGUGUCGGAUAAGAUCUGAAAAUUAUACUGAAGAUAUUUAUGCAAAUCAAGAGACUAAAACUCAGGAUGUUAGACCUCCAUCUCUCUUGAUAAGCACAAAAGGAAACACUUCUAUUUUCAAGAUGAGUGGUAUAAUCAGGAAGAAGGACACACAGUUCACAAACAACAGAUAGGCAAGGCUUGGUGAUUCAAAUACUCAAAGCUAAAGCCUUAUCAGUUAUCAAAGUCACAGCUUUAGGAAUGGUUUGCUAGACGGGUAGCUCUGUUGCAUAUGAGGUAGCCGCACCAUUGAUUUUACUACUUGCCUAAAUGACAUCUAUUUGGUUAAUUUCUCCAACAUGCAUUUAGGUGUGGGUUUUUCCAUAUGCUUCAGUGUUUAUGAUUCUUCCCACUGGAGCUGUCAAUGUUACAUCGCCUUUAUAUUUCCUUACCUUGUCACUUGCCAACUUGAAGUUAUAAAACAUGUAUUCAAUUAGUAGCAAGUUCUAGUAUCAUCUCACAUCUAAAACUCUAAAUCAUCUAUGCUUCUCUCACUAAUCAUACUAGCCAAUUCAGACAAAUGGGUAGAAUAGAGGGAGAAAUUCAAUAAGACACGAGUAAGAGAACCAAAAGAAGGACCAUUAUUGGAUAAAAAAUACAAUUAGCAUGUUAUAGUGCAUUUCACCAAAUAUAACACAAACACAUAUGAUGCUCACUGUGAUAUCCACGGCUUUAUUGAUUCUAGUAGAUUGCCUUGUUAAAAACUGUACAAGUUCAUCACUUCAUCUUAUGCUGAUUAUGAUAGGUAAAUUAUUUAGGUUUGUAACACUUGAAGAUUCAAUAGGGCCAACUAACACAGAGACAGAAGAAAGUUGUUAAAACCAUUAAGUGCACGAAAGCAUCCUGUGUUUAUCAAUAAAUCUGUUAUGAAAACGAAAGAAAGAUAGCCUCUACCUAACAAAAUAUAUUAGCAAAUUCAGUCAUGAACUUUCUUGUUGACUGAAUAAACCACUAGCUUGCAUAGAAGAAAUAAGAUACAUCCUAUCCAGAUUUCUAAUAAGCAAAUCAUAAUUUAUUAUAUUGAGUGUCCUCUGUUAUUGAAAAAACAUCUGUUGGGGUAACGACAGACCAUACAUAAAAUCAUUUCCCAAUCAUGGCCAGUUGCUUAUAGCACUGGACAUGCAGCUAUUCCAUAUCUAUCAAUUCAUGUUUCUGAGUUUAAUAAUUACUUUAAAUGGCGAAAUACAGAUAAAGAUUACUUUUUCUCAUUGCCUUUAACAAAGAGCAGAACUCUGAUUAACGCAACUAGAAAAAAAAUCUCACCACCAUCUAUGGUUGAAAGUUUACUCAAAUACUGUAUCUAUAUUCAAAAUUUCAGAUGCGAAAAUCAUAUAAGCAAACUCAUUAUGACAUAGUCACAGUUUGACCAGAACAUCAACAUAAACUAAAUCUAUCACAUAAAGAUCAGGAUAAGUAUUGAAAGUAACAGAGUAGUGUAGAAUGAAGAAGCACAGUACCUGACACUGCACAUCAAUCCCACUUUUCUUGUAUUCAACAUAAAGGCACCUUGAGAAUUGAUCGAUGUACCUGAUAACAUACACAAAAUAAAUAAAUAAAUAAACUAACAUGAACCUACUGCAAAUCUCCAGGAAUUAAGACCUUACAAGUAAAUCACUAGGACAUAAAAAAAAGGUCUUACGCUUUAGUAGCAGCAUAAACAGCAUAAAGAGGAUCAGAAGGGAUUACAAUGGCAGCUCCAGAACCAAUAUUAACAAUAGCACCCUUCUUCCUCUUCAACAUCCCAGGCAGAACAGCUUGUGUAACUUUAGUAGUACCUUCAACAUUCACUCUAAUCAAAUGCUUCAACAGCUCCUCGUCAACCUCAUGAAAGAACCUGGCAUAAGGAUAAGAAACCCCGACAUUAUUAAUCAAGAUACCAACAUCCAGACCUUCAACAGUCUCCUUAAUCUUUUGAACACCCUCGUCAAUAUCGCCACUGAAAUCAACAACAACGUUCUUGAUUUGGACAUUACUGUAUUU
RNAcentral lists this long non-coding RNA (2317 nucleotides) under Populus trichocarpa (black cottonwood). RNAcentral describes it as "long non-coding RNA (PTRI_LNC002462)". The record is from RNAcentral. Lineage: Eukaryota; Viridiplantae; Streptophyta; Magnoliopsida; Malpighiales; Salicaceae.